RNAcentral lists this unclassified non-coding RNA (343 nucleotides) under soil metagenome. RNAcentral's name for it is "partial contains 5.8S ribosomal RNA, internal transcribed spacer 2, and large subunit ribosomal RNA". The stretch from base 1 to 120 matches the Rfam family "5.8S ribosomal RNA", at positions 35 to 154 of the family's 154-position model. The record is from RNAcentral.
GAUGAAGAACGUAGCGAAACGCGAUAAGUAAUGUGAAUUGCAGAAUCCAGUGAAUCAUCGAAUCUUUGAACGCACAUUGCGCCCGCCAGCAUUCUGGCGGGCAUGCCUGUUCGAGCGUCAUUUCAACCCUCGACCUCCCCUUGGGGAGGUCGGCGUUGGGGACCGGCAGCACACCGCCGGCCCUGAAAUGGAGUGGCGGCCCGUCCGCGGCGACCUCUGCGCAGUAAUACAGCUCGCACCGGGACCCCGACGCGGCCACGCCGUAAAACACCCAACUUCUGAACGUUGACCUCGAAUCAGGUAGGACUACCCGCUGAACUUAAGCAUAUCAAUAAGCGGCGGA